CGAGCACCGAGCGCCGCCGGGAGUCGAGCGCCGGCCGCGGAGCUCUUGCGACCCCGCCAGGACCCGAACAGAGCCCGGGGGCGGCGGGCCGGAGCCGGGGACGCGGGCACACGCCCGCUCGCACAAGCCACGGCGGACUCUCCCGAGGCGGAACCUCCACGCCGAGCGAGGGUCAGUUUGAAAAGGAGGAUCGAGCUCACUGUGGAGUAUCCAUGGAGAUGUGGAGCCUUGUCACCAACCUCUAACUGCAGAACUGGGAUGUGGAGCUGGAAGUGCCUCCUCUUCUGGGCUGUGCUGGUCACAGCCACACUCUGCACCGCUAGGCCGUCCCCGACCUUGCCUGAACAAGCCCAGCCCUGGGGAGCCCCUGUGGAAGUGGAGUCCUUCCUGGUCCACCCCGGUGACCUGCUGCAGCUUCGCUGUCGGCUGCGGGACGAUGUGCAGAGCAUCAACUGGCUGCGGGACGGGGUGCAGCUGGCGGAAAGCAACCGCACCCGCAUCACAGGGGAGGAGGUGGAGGUGCAGGACUCCGUGCCCGCAGACUCCGGCCUCUAUGCUUGCGUAACCAGCAGCCCCUCGGGCAGUGACACCACCUACUUCUCCGUCAAUGUUUCAGGUUGGUAGCCAAGCCCUGCCCUUGCCCCUCCCUAGACCCACCCCCUCCAACCCUCUCUGCCAGUUUCAGGGGAAGGUGAACCUCCUCCCCCUCCGUGAUCUGCCCCCACUCUGCUUCAGAAACUGCUGCCCACUAACAUUGCUCCCUGCCUGCCGCGUGGC
RNAcentral lists this small RNA (777 nucleotides) under Pan troglodytes (chimpanzee). RNAcentral's name for it is "retained intron". The record is from RNAcentral. Lineage: Eukaryota; Metazoa; Chordata; Mammalia; Primates; Hominidae.